RNAcentral lists this ribosomal RNA (253 nucleotides) under uncultured bacterium. RNAcentral's name for it is "partial 16S ribosomal RNA". It matches the Rfam family "Bacterial small subunit ribosomal RNA", at positions 524 to 776 of the family's 1533-position model. The record is from RNAcentral.
GACAGAGGGUGCAAACGUUGUUCGGAUUUACUGGGCGUAAAGCGCGUGUAGGCGGCUUGGCAAGUCGGAUGUGAAAGCCCACGGCUCAACCGUGGAAGCGCAUCCGAAACGGCCUCGCUCGAGUCUCGGAGAGGAAGGUGGAAUGCUUGGUGUAGAGGUGAAAUUCGUAGAUAUCGAGAGGAACACCGGUGGCGAAGGCGGCGAUCUGGACGAUGACUGACGCUGAGACGCGAAAGCGUGGGGAGCAAACAGG